This 137-nucleotide ribosomal RNA is filed under the name Octodon degus (degu). Lineage: Eukaryota; Metazoa; Chordata; Mammalia; Rodentia; Octodontidae. The record is from RNAcentral.
UCUACAAUUAUACUACCCAGAACACACCCAAGUUCAUCUGAUCUCGGAAGCGAAGCAGGGUUGGUCCUGGUUAGUUCUUGGAUAGAAAGAAAACGUUUUAUGGAAUACCUGACCACUAAUUCUCGAAAUAGUAAGAA